This is an RNA transcript of Oncorhynchus keta (chum salmon), 1248 nucleotides long. It is a transcript of the gene named immunoglobulin lambda-1 light chain-like, with no coding region annotated. Lineage: Eukaryota; Metazoa; Chordata; Actinopteri; Salmoniformes; Salmonidae. The record is from RefSeq and is a predicted model, not a curated record. The transcript has 3 exons.
AUAUGGUUCUGGUUUCUCCUCUCCUAAAUUCACAUCUGAUCAUCAGUCUAUAUCAGAUUAUAGUUUGAUUAUUAAUAAUGUGGAGGAGGAAGACUCAGCAGUGUAUUACUGUAAAACGAUUGACUACACUGUUGACGAGUGGGCAUCACAGUGACAUACACUAUGACAAAAACCUCCUCCCCAAAUACACUCACUUCUGCUUCAUGGCAGAGGGGUGAACUCUAAGAAACAGCAGUUGAUCAGUCAUUAUUAUAACAUUAUAUACAAGACACAAUGGGAGAUCUGGAAAUGGAAGAACCAUCCAUUACUACAUGUCAAAAAGAUUAUAAGACGAUUGUAAAAAGAGAUUUAGUCAUUCUUGACGUAAUCAUCAUCAUCAUCAAGUGAAGACUGCAUCAUAUGGAUUUUGCUUUAACUGAUGGAUUCAAAAGGACCAGACACCAACAGCAGAAUAUGAUGCUAUUCUAUAAACUGUUACUUCAAGGAGAGAAACUCUAACAGUCUGAGAUGUUAGUAGUGAGAGUGAAGCUCUGUCUGAAUGGGAUGUUUCAAUUCCUGUCCUCUCAGUAGAGAGAGUGCAGCUCUGUCUGAAUGGGAUGUUUCAGGUCCUGUCCUCUCAGUAGAGAGAGUGAAGCUCUGUCUGAAUGGGAUGUUUCAGUUCCUGUCCUCUCAGUAGAGAGAGUGAAGCUCUGUUGGGAUGGGAUGUUUCAGUUCCUGUCCUCUCAGUAGAGAGAGUGAAGCUCUGUUGGGAUGGGAUGUUUCAGUUCCUGUUCUCUCAGUAGAGAGAGUGAAGCUCUGUUUGGAUGGGAUGUUUCGGUUCCCGUCCUCGCAGUAGAGAGAGUGAAGCUCUGUCUGGAUGGGAUGUUUCAGUUCCUGUCCUCUCAGUAUAGAGAGUGAAGCUCUGUCUGAAUGGGAUGGUUCAGUUCCUGUCCUCUCAGUAGAGAGAGUGAAGCUCUGUCUGAAUGGGAUGGUUCAGUUCCUGUCCUCUCAGUAGAGAGAGUGAAGCUCUGUCUGAAUGGGAUGGUUCAGUUCCUGUCCUCUCAGUAGAGAGUGAGGAGGUUAUUGUACGGCUGUGUAAACAAACUGAAUCACUGUGGUAUUCGGACCAGGAACCAAGCUCAUUGUUACUGAUGGAGAUCUGGCUACACCUGCUGUGACUGUGUUCCCUCCAUCCACUGAAGACCUCAAGUCCAGCAGAGCAACACUGGUGUGUCUGACUAGUGACCUGUCUCAGAGAUCCAAGGGGUU